GACGAACGCUGGCGGCGUGCCUAAUACAUGCAAGUUGAGCGAUUAAGAUUGGUGCUUGCACCAAUUUGAAGAGCAGCGAACGGGUGAGUAACGCGUGGGGAAUCUGCCUUUGAGCGUGGGACAACAUUUGGAAACGAAUGCUAAUACCGCAUAACAACUUUAAACAUAAGUUUUAAGUUUGAAGGAUGCAAUUGCAUCACUCAAAGAUGAUCCCGCGUUGUAUUAGCUAGUUGGUGAGGUAAAGGCUCACCAAGGCGAUGAUACAUAGCCGACCUGAGAGGGUGAUCGGCCAAAAUGGGACUGAGAAAAGGCCCAAAAUCCUACGGGAGGCAGCAGGAGGGAAACGUCGGCAAAGGAGGAAAGUCUGAACGAGGAAAGCCGCGGGAGGGAAGAAGGGUUUCGGAUCGUAAAACUCGGUUGGUAGAGAAGAACGUUGGUGAGAGUGGAAAGCUCAUCAAGUGACGGUAACUACACAGAAAGGGACGGCUAACUACGUG
RNAcentral lists this ribosomal RNA (497 nucleotides) under uncultured bacterium. RNAcentral's name for it is "partial 16S ribosomal RNA". It matches the Rfam family "Bacterial small subunit ribosomal RNA", at positions 28 to 507 of the family's 1533-position model. The record is from RNAcentral.